GAAAUGCGAUAACUAAUGUGAAUUGCAGAAUUCAGUGAAUCAUCGAGUCUUUGAACGCACAUUGCGCCCCCUGGUAUUCCGGGGGGGCAUGCCUGUCCGAGCGUCAUUGCUGCCCUCAAGCCCGGCUUGUGUGUUGGGUCGCCGUCCCCCUCUCCGGGGGGACGGGCCCGAAAGGCAGCGGCGGCACCGCGUCCGAUCCUCGAGCGUAUGGGGCUUUGUCACAUGCUCUGUAGGAUUGGCCGGCGCCUGCCGACGUUUUCCAACCAUUCUUUCCAGGUUGACCUCGGAUCAGGUAGGGAUACCCGCUGAACUUAAGC
This 317-nucleotide unclassified non-coding RNA is filed under the name plant metagenome. RNAcentral's name for it is "partial contains 5.8S ribosomal RNA, internal transcribed spacer 2, and large subunit ribosomal RNA". The stretch from base 1 to 106 matches the Rfam family "5.8S ribosomal RNA", at positions 50 to 154 of the family's 154-position model. The record is from RNAcentral.